Molecule: ribosomal RNA, 358 nt
Filed under: uncultured Archaeospora
Lineage: Eukaryota; Fungi; Glomeromycota; Glomeromycetes; Archaeosporales; Archaeosporaceae
Description: partial 28S ribosomal RNA
Source: RNAcentral
GAGAGUUAAAUAGUACGUGAAAUUGUUGAAAGGGAAACGCUUGAAGUCAGUCGUGCCGGCGUUGGAUUCAGCUUGCUUCGCGGAGCAGGCGUAUUUCCGCGCAUGGCAGGUCAGCGUCAGUUUUGCGCGGCGUGAAAAGGCUCGGGUAAGGUAGCUCUCUUCGGGGAGUGUUAUAGACCUGGGCAGAUGCGCUGCGCGGGACUGAGGAUUGCAGCGGACACCCCCUCGGGGGCGCGGCGACCGAACCCUGCUCGGCCACCCUCGUUCGAUAGCGUGCUAGCGGACGCGGGAGCGGCAGUGCACCGGAACAGGCAAGCCAGCGGUUCGCUAAGGAUGCUGACGUAAUGGCUUUAAACGA